GCAGUGAGCCGAGACCGAGCCACUGCACUCCAAGCCUGCGCAACAGAGCAAGACUCCGUCUCAAAAAAAAAAAAAAAGAGAGUUUAGAGCUUCCAUCAUGGACAAGUUGGCUCCUACAUUUUGCCAAAACACAAAGAAUCUGUCUGUCCCCCGAGGUGGAUUUUGAGCCCCCAGUCCUUUGAGUCGCCACCUGCUGUACUGUCAGCCCACACCCAUAAAAGGAAAAACUGCUUUGGGCGGGGGAGGCCUCAGAAGGGUGGUCAGAAAAGACGACGACGGCUGCAGGAUUCACUGCUCGACACUAGGGGGAGCAAUAAGCUCGGGAACACGUUAAAGCCACACCCAGAAAUCUCGUUUCCGGGUUCCCGAAUCUCCCCAGAUAGAGCAGAGAGAGAAGCAGCAAGAGGAUAUUUAAGGACUGCCCAGAAAAGCCUUUGUGGGAACACAUGAUGGGAGAAAAUGCAGAGGAUCAAAGGGGCAGUGGAGGGCGUACCUUCCCUCGGCUUCAGCCUGGUCCCGGGCUGCAGAGUCCUCUUUAACGUUGACCUCCUCAUCAGCCCCAGGGAGAAGGGGCGGGGGCGGAAAGAGUGAGGAAAAGGAGACGGUGAAGACAAGCCAGAAGAAAUAAAGCAUUAGUUUUCAUCACUUUCCCCAUUCACUUCAACUUAUGCAUCUAGCUCACGCCGCACUCAGCAUCUUGGUAAGUCCCAGCUCAGUGGGUCACAGCUAGAAGGAGACUUUUGGAGCCCCAGAUGUUUAGCUGGAGUCUGGGACUCAGAGAAGAGGAAGAGCUUGAGCAAGGUCUCCAAGGUCGUUUAUACUUUGGAUACUGACAACCACCUGGUCUGGUAGACAGAGACUAUUAACUCAUUUAACAAAUGAAGAAACAAGUUCAGUCCAGGCCGAGCGCGGUGGCUCACGCCUAGAAUCUCAAGGGAGAUUGGGAGGCCGAGGCAGGUAGGUCAUUUGAGGUCAGAAGUUCAAGACCAGCCUGGCCAACAUGAUGAAACCCCAUGUCUACUAAAAAUACAAAAAUAAGCCCGACGGUAAUGGCGGGCGCCUGUAAUCCCAGCUACUUGUGAGGCUGAGGCCGGAGAACAGCUUGAGCCUGGGAGGCAGAAGUUGCCGUGAACAGAGAUUGGACCACUGCACUCCGGGAGAUCCGGCCACUGCACUACAGUCUGGGCGAGGGUGAGACCCUGUCUCAAUACAUAUUUUAAUUAAAUAAAAUAAAAUUGUCCAAACUA
Molecule: long non-coding RNA, 1247 nt
Organism: Callithrix jacchus (white-tufted-ear marmoset)
Lineage: Eukaryota; Metazoa; Chordata; Mammalia; Primates; Cebidae
Source: RefSeq, a predicted model, not a curated record